UACGUAGGGGGCAAGCGUUGUCCGGAAUCAUUGGGCGUAAAGAGCGUGUAGGCGGCCAGAUAAGUCCGCUGUGAAAUCUCGAGGCUCAACUUCGAGCUGUCGGUGGAAACUGUCUGGCUAGAGUCCGGAAGAGGAGAAUGGAAUUCCUGGUGUAGCGGUGAAAUGCGCAGAUAUCAGGAAGAACACCGGUGGCGAAGGCGGCUACCUGGACAGGUACUGACACUGAGGCGCGAAAGCCAGGGGAGCAAACGGG
This 253-nucleotide ribosomal RNA is filed under the name uncultured bacterium. Its description in RNAcentral is "partial 16S ribosomal RNA". It matches the Rfam family "Bacterial small subunit ribosomal RNA", at positions 524 to 776 of the family's 1533-position model. The record is from RNAcentral.